AUACGGAGGGUGCAAGCGUUAAUCGGAUUUACUGGGCGUAAAGCGCGCGUAGGCGGUUUGGUAAGUCGGAUGUGAAAUCCCAGGGCUCAACCUUGGAACUGCAUUCGAUACUGCCUCACUAGAGUAUGGUAGAGGGAAGUGGAAUUCCGGGUGUAGCGGUGAAAUGCGUAGAUAUCCGGAGGAACAUCAGUGGCGAAGGCGACUUCCUGGCCCAAUACUGACGCUGAGGUGCGAAAGCGUGGGGAGCGAACAGGAUUAGAAACCCGGGUAGUCC
RNAcentral lists this ribosomal RNA (274 nucleotides) under uncultured bacterium. Its description in RNAcentral is "partial 16S ribosomal RNA". It matches the Rfam family "Bacterial small subunit ribosomal RNA", at positions 523 to 796 of the family's 1533-position model. The record is from RNAcentral.